AAAACUGAAAAAUAGCUAGUAUCUUCUUUAAUAAGUAAAGAUGCGACAUAAUUGUUAGUAUAGAUAUAGUUCAUUGUAUGUUUUAGUUUGCUAGAAUGGAACAAAACUAGAAAAUACUGGAUGGGUGCAGUACCAAGAUUCUCAAGCAGUCGAAAAAUUCUAGGACCAAAAUGAAGCAAAUAGAAGAUAAGUUGAGCAAGCUUGAAUGUUUUGUUUAUAAUUUCAGUGGAUACAGCUAUGGAUAUUGCAUAGGCAGAUACAAAAAGGAAAAGCACAUUCAAGUUUGAUGCGACUGUACAAUUCGUUAUAAAUAUUUGUGUAAGGUGAACAUUUGUUUUUUCUUUCGUGUUUAAUUAGAUAACAAAAUAAUUUAAGGUUGUAAAAAUUUGAGAAAUGCCCUAUGACAGCUAUAGGAUGAAAUCAUGGGUCAAGAUUAAGCAAAAUUUUGUUAUUUUAUCGUGGGUAUUAGAUGUUUCUAUUAGAAUAAGCUAGUCGUAUUUGUUAAAUAUUAGUAAGUACAUACAUUUUUGUUUCUUUCAAAAAUGAACAUAUUCUAUUAUUUUAUUAUGAGAUAGUUACCUUUAAUAUGUGUAAUUUAGCACUAAUAGUGUAGUAUUUUAGUGUAGUGGUUUAACAUAAUAUUAUAUAUGUACUUAACAUAGAAGUUACUUAAAUUCGUUUACUGUUAAUGUGUUUUUCAAAUACUUUUAUUUUAAUAUGUACAACUUAACCUUAUCAUUUACCGUCCAGUAUUUAAGAUUGUCAAAUAUCAUGUAGGUGCGACAUUUAGGUAAAACAGCAAAAAGGGAGUUCAACAUAAUUAUUUUGUAUUUGUUGUGUCUUCUACAAUAAAUUUUAUUUUGAAA
Long non-coding RNA from Anoplophora glabripennis (Asian longhorned beetle), 866 nucleotides. RefSeq lists it as uncharacterized. Lineage: Eukaryota; Metazoa; Arthropoda; Insecta; Coleoptera; Cerambycidae. The transcript is spliced from 2 exons. The record is from RefSeq and is a predicted model, not a curated record.